RNAcentral lists this ribosomal RNA (502 nucleotides) under uncultured bacterium. RNAcentral's name for it is "bacterial SSU rRNA". It matches the Rfam family "Bacterial small subunit ribosomal RNA", at positions 29 to 505 of the family's 1533-position model. The record is from RNAcentral.
AACAAACGCUGGCGGCGUGCCUAACACAUGCAAGUCGUACGAGAAAGUCGGCUUCGGCCGAUGAGUACAGUGGCGCACGGGUGAGUAGCGCGUGGGUAAUCUGCCCCCCGGUCAGGAAUAACCCGCCGAAAGGCGGGCUAAUACCCGAUAACACUGACGCUCCGCGGAGCGUCUUUCAAAGAAGGCCUCUGUUUACAAGCUUUCGCCGGAGGAUGAGCCCGCGUACCAUUAGCUAGUUGGCAGGGUAAUGGCCUACCAAGGCUACGAUGGUUAGCUGGUCUGAGAGGAUGGCCAGCCACACUGGAACUGAGACACGGUCCAGACUCCUACGGGAGGCAGCAGUGAGGAAUCUUGCGCAAUGGGGGAAACCCUGACGCAGCAACGCCGCGUGAGUGAGGAAGGCCUUCGGGUCGUAAAGCUCUGUCAGAUGGGAAGAAAUGGAUGGGGGCGUAAUAUCGCCCAUCCUUGACGGUACCAUCAGAGGAAGCACCGGCUAACUCCG